RNAcentral lists this unclassified non-coding RNA (390 nucleotides) under soil metagenome. Its description in RNAcentral is "partial contains 5.8S ribosomal RNA, internal transcribed spacer 2, and large subunit ribosomal RNA". The stretch from base 1 to 122 matches the Rfam family "5.8S ribosomal RNA", at positions 35 to 154 of the family's 154-position model. The record is from RNAcentral.
GAUGAAGAACGUAGCGAAAUGCGAUACUUGGUGUGAAUUGCAGAAUCCCGUGAACCAUCGAGUCUUUGAACGCAAGUUGCGCCCGAAGCCAUUAGGCCGAGGGCACGCCUGCCUGGGCGUCACACGUCGUUGCCCCCCCAUCUACUCUUCGGGAUUGCGGGGGGCGGAUGAUGGCCUCUCGUGCGCCUCGUCGCGCGGUUGGCCUAAAUGCCAAGUCCUCGGCGACGCACGCCACGACAAUCGGUGGUUGCGAAACCUCGGUUGCCUGUCGUGUGCGGUCGUCGCGCAUCGAGGGCUCGAAAAAAUUGCCGGGCUUCGGCUCGACUUUCAACGCGACCCCAGGUCAGGCGGGGUUACCCGCUGAAUUUAAGCAUAUCAAUAAGCGGAGGA